Molecule: ribosomal RNA, 596 nt
Filed under: Palmicultor cf. palmarum CSCA 21N553 FDSCA E2021-2273-1
Lineage: Eukaryota; Metazoa; Arthropoda; Insecta; Hemiptera; Pseudococcidae
Description: SSU rRNA
Rfam family: Eukaryotic small subunit ribosomal RNA
Source: RNAcentral
CAAAGAUUAAGCCAUGCAUGUCUCAGUGCAAGCCGUCCAGUACGGUGAAACCGCGAAAGGCUCAUUAAAUCAGUUAUGGUUCCUUAGAUCGUACCCACGUUACUUGGAUAACUGUGGUAAUUCUAGAGCUAAUACAUGCCGACAGAGUUCCGACCAACUGUACGGAUUGGCGGCGGCUCCGGUCGUCGUCGCCGUACGGUUCGGAAGGAACGCUUUUAUUAGAUCAAAACUGGCUAAACGGCGGAUUCGCUUCGCGCGUCUCCCGUCGUAAGCGGCCCGCGCAAAGAUUUGGUGACUCUGAAUAACUUCGAGCUGAUCGCACGGUCUUCGUACCGGCGACGUAUCUUUCAAAUGUCUGCCUUAUCAACUGUCGACGGUAGGUUCGACGCCUACCGUGGUGGUAACGGGUAACGGGGAAUCAGGGUUCGAUUCCGGAGAGGGAGCCUGAGAAACGGCUACCACAUCCAAGGAAGGCAGCAGGCGCGCAAAUUACCCACUCCCAGCUCGGGGAGGUAGUGACGAAAAAUAACGAUACGGGACUCAUUAGAGGCCCCGUAAUCGGAAUGAGUACACUUUAAAACCUUGGUCACACGAGG